This 158-nucleotide ribosomal RNA is filed under the name uncultured bacterium. Its description in RNAcentral is "partial 16S ribosomal RNA". It matches the Rfam family "Bacterial small subunit ribosomal RNA", at positions 335 to 485 of the family's 1533-position model. The record is from RNAcentral.
ACUCCUACGGGAGGCAGCAGUAGGGAAUCUUCGGCAAUGGAAGAAAGUCUGACCGAGCAACGCCGGGUGAGUGAAGAAGGUUUUCGGAUCGUAAAACUCUGUUGUUAGAGAAGAACAAGGAUGAGAGUAACUGUUCAUCCCUGGACGGUAUCUAACCA